Molecule: ribosomal RNA, 206 nt
Filed under: uncultured bacterium
Lineage: Bacteria
Description: partial 16S ribosomal RNA
Rfam family: Bacterial small subunit ribosomal RNA
Source: RNAcentral
UGCGUAGGUGGCUGAGCAAGUCGUUGAUGAAAUCCCCGGGCUCAACCUGGGAACUGUUUUCGAAACUGCUCAGCUUGAGGAUGGUUGAGGAAAGCGGAAUUCCCGGUGGAGCGGUGAAAUGCGUAGAUAUCGGGAGGAACACCAGAGGCGAAGGCGGCUUUCUGGCCAUUCCUGACACUGAGGCACGAAAGCUAGGGGAGCGAACG